Non-coding RNA from Sturnus vulgaris (Common starling), 115 nucleotides. NCBI's taxonomy places the organism in Eukaryota, Metazoa, Chordata, Aves, Passeriformes, Sturnidae. The record is from RefSeq and is a predicted model, not a curated record.
GGGAGCUCAUCAGGCAGCACGGGCUGGAGGCCGUGCAGGCCUACAUGGGAUACGUGCAGGCCAACGCCGAGGACACGAUGGACGACGGGACCCCCAUCAGACUGAGGGUGCAGCU